RNAcentral lists this ribosomal RNA (61 nucleotides) under Ailuropoda melanoleuca (giant panda). The record is from RNAcentral. Lineage: Eukaryota; Metazoa; Chordata; Mammalia; Carnivora; Ursidae.
CCGAUCUCUUCUGAUCUCAGAAGCUAAGCAGGGUCAGGCCUGGUUAGCACUUGGAGGGGAG